This 497-nucleotide ribosomal RNA is filed under the name uncultured bacterium. Its description in RNAcentral is "partial 16S ribosomal RNA". It matches the Rfam family "Bacterial small subunit ribosomal RNA", at positions 28 to 507 of the family's 1533-position model. The record is from RNAcentral.
GAUGAACGCUGGCGGCGUGCCUAAUACAUGCAAGUCGAGCGAACAGACGAGGAGCUUGCUCCUCUGACGUUAGCGGCGGACGGGUGAGCAACACGUGGAUAACCUACCUAUAAGACUGGGAUAACUUCGGGAAACCGGAGCUAAUACCGGAUAAUAUAUUGAACCGCAUGGUUCAAUAGUGAGAGACGGUUUUGCUGUCACUUAUAGAUGGAUCCGCGCCGCAUUAGCUAGUUGGUAAGGUAACGGCUUACCAAGGCAACGAUGCGUAGCCGACCUGAGAGGGUGAUCGGCCACAAUGGAACUGAGACACGGUCCAGACGCCUACGGGAGGCAGCAGUAGGGAAUCUUCCGCAAUGGGCGAAAGAUUGAAGGAGAAACGAAGCGGGAGUGAUGAAGGUCUUCGGAUCGUAAAACUCUGUUAAUAGGGAAGAACAAAUGUGUAAGUAACUAUGCACGUCUUGACGGUACCUAAUCAGAAAGACACGGCUAACUACGUG